Molecule: ribosomal RNA, 253 nt
Filed under: uncultured bacterium
Lineage: Bacteria
Description: partial 16S ribosomal RNA
Rfam family: Bacterial small subunit ribosomal RNA
Source: RNAcentral
UACAGAGGUCCCAAGCGUUGUUCGGAUUCACUGGGCGUAAAGGGUGCGUAGGCGGUCGGGUAAGUCUGAUGUGAAAUCUCAGAGCUCAACUCUGAAACUGCAUUGGAUACUAUUCGGCUUGAGGUCUGGAGGGGGGACUGGAAUUCUCGGUGUAGCAGUGAAAUGCGUAGAUAUCAAGUGGAACACCAGUGGCGAAGGCGAGUCCCUGGACAAUUCCUGACACUGAGGCACGAAAGCUAGGGGAGCAAACAGG